GUGAAUCAUCGAAUUUUUGAACGCAAAUUGCACUCUCUGCGGAGAGUAGGCGUGUUUGAGGGUCAGCCUAAUGAAAAUCGACGUAUUUUCGAUUGCGCGGUGGCAUUCGUCUGGAAUUGGGUGGUCUUAAACCUUUGGGAUUUUUAAUCGGCUUAAAAUUUUCUUUACGAUUCCACUAACGUUUCUAAGGUUUUACUUCUUACACACGUUUAAGUUAUCGAUCUUUAUUAGACGUGUCCGUUAC
Molecule: unclassified non-coding RNA, 244 nt
Filed under: Glomus sp.
Lineage: Eukaryota; Fungi; Glomeromycota; Glomeromycetes; Glomerales; Glomeraceae
Description: partial contains 5.8S ribosomal RNA and internal transcribed spacer 2
Rfam family: 5.8S ribosomal RNA (bases 1-65)
Source: RNAcentral